CCCUUUACAUAAGGCACCACCCCACACCCCCAAAGGCCCCAGCAAGCACUCCCAGAGCCAAAGCCCCCUCCACAUCCCAAGUUCCUAACCUGACCUCCACCAUGAGAGAUUAACAUCCCAACCAGCUGCUGCUCGCAACGUACGUAGCAUCUUGCCCGCCCCUCGUCGAAGUCCGACCCGCAGCUAGCUCAGCCGGCGGCCGGCGAGCACAACGUACGUGGUGGGGUCGCACUCGCGCACCACCGGCGGAGCUAGCUAGCUAGCGUUGCCCCUGUCUCUGCCACCGCUCGUCGCCGCGGCCGGCCUGCCUGUAGAUCGUACGCCGACUUCGACGACGUACGGCCACCUCCUCCCCCAACGAAUUAGCCAUACGGAAGGACAAGUUUUUUAAUUAAGGGGUAAAGUCCAUCUUACUCUCCAAAUAUGGCAAAGGCAAAGAAAAAGAAGAAGAAAAAAAACCCCAAAGCUUACUUUUGAAUAAUUGGAUUGGACAGUCAUAGGAAAGAAAAAAUAAAUGAAUGGCUAGCCGCCCCCGUCGCACUGCUCGUGCACCAAACCGUUUCGGUUUUGAGGAAGUUAGAGUUGAGCCAGAGGCAGAUCAUGAGGAAGACUCCAUCAUUAACAUGUUGGUAGCUGAUUUGGAAGCCCAUGAGCAAGGUGAGGAGAGGUGUCCGUGUGUUUAGGAAUGUACCUCUCAAGUUCAUUCCUGAGCAUCACGCAGUGUAUAGUGGUAGGAUAGUUACGCUCAACAAGUCUGGCGUUGUUGGACACAGGCCGGCACCACCACCGGUCCUCCAAGAAGCUCAGAUCUUAGAUGUUGAUGAUCUCACCAACCUGGCACUCCUACCACCUUCUCCGGAGCCAUCCUUAGGUCCGCGCAGAAGGGGCAAGAGAAUCAUGACUCCCAGCUACUCUUCAGGUGGCAACAGCAAGGGGACCAGGAGGGACUCCACCGGAGAUGCAUUUAAUAGGCUGGCUGACCUGAGGGUUCAGUCCAAUGAAAGUAAGGCCAGGAGGGAGGAGCAGAAGCAAGCGAAGAGCGCUAGAGCAUGCAUGGAGAUGCUCAAGGCUGAUGGGAUUAGCAUGCAGGAUCCCAUCUACCACACAAUCCUGAGGAUGUUUCGUGAUGGGUACCUGUGUGAGUUCUUCAUUGAGGACUGCACCACACCAGAGGGUCGCAUGUACUUCAUCCAGCUGCAUGGUGCACCAGACCUCACUCCUGACCCCCUGUUGUUUGCUCCACCGCCACCACCAACCUGCUCAGGCCAUGUUGAGGGCUGGUACAAGAGGUUCAGUCCUCAUGACGAUGAUGGUAGCGACGGUGCUAAUGGUGGUGCUGAUGGUGCAGCAAUGUUUUAGCACUGCUUCUGCUUGCUUAUGUCGCUUUGGUGCCAUGUUCUGUUCGUGAUGCAUCUUUUAAUUUCCCUGUGAUGUCUGUUUAAUAACUUGCUCCGAUUCAUAUCGAGCAUCGUGCUUGUUGUAGGCCUUAUUUAAGGGCCCCUUUGAAACACAGGAUAGGAAAAACACAGGAAUAGGAAAAACGUAGGAAUUGAAGUGGUAUGUUUUCCUAAUCCUACAGGAAUGAAAAACACAAGAAAUAUGAAGAGGGUCCCUUUUUGAUAGCACCAUAGGAAACAAACAAAGCAAAAGGAUAGUUUCCAAGAGGUUGAACCUCUUGCUUAUUUUCCUAUGAAAUUGAGCUAUAGGAAUGCAAUCCUAAGGAAAAUUUCCUAUACUUUCCUAUGAAUCAAAGGGUUUCAUAGGAAAAAUUUCUUAGGAAAUUAAAUCCUCAAAAAUUCCUAUGACAAUCCUCCAAUUCAAAGGUGCCCUAAGUUGAGUGGCUUCUUGAACAAUUUCAGCACCAUUAAUUUGAACUAUGUGAGCUGCAGUGCUUGAAUAAAUUAUGUUGAGCUGAUAUUUAUUUGCCUUUGUUGAUUGCCCUUAUUUUGUACAAGGAGCUAACUUUUUGUGGUUUGCUAACUUAAUUUACAAUUGCAUUGCACUAAUAUGUUGCCUAUUUUAAUCACUGUUUUUUUGCAGUACUUUAAUAAUGUGAACUAACCUUUCGAUUUCUACCUACUUAGAAUCAUUUUGUCAUUGCAGCACAUAGGCUUCUAACUUAACCAUGAUUUACUUUGUCAUGUAUUGAUAUAGGAACAUGAGCACUUCUGAAAGAUCAUAUGGUUCUAAGGAUGGCUACUACAGUGAGGAGGAGGACUCCUUUCUGGACAUGUUGGUUGCGGCUUUGAAGGCAAAGCUAUGUGUGAGGGCAGCACGUUGGGUAUCGCAACAAUCUGGAAUGGAAUGGGUGAUGGAGACAAUGGAAAACCCAUCUCAAUGCCAAGCAAUUUUCCGUCUGAUGCCAGAUCAAAUCCAUGCUCUGUUUGGGUUACUUACUAAUCGAUACAAUCUUCAUGGAUCAAUUGAGGUAUGCCCAAUGGAAGCACUUGGAAUAUUUUUGUACAUCAUGGCGGGGGGCAAUUCAAAUAGGGCCACUAAUAAUAGGAUGAAUGAUGAAGAAUUCCAGCCAUUUGCUGGUGCGGCUGGUGCAGUGGAUGGAGCACACAUUCAUUGCAUUGUGGCAGUGGAUGAUUCCAUUCAACACAGGAACCGUCACCACAUAACUUCUAGGAAUGUUCGUCGCUAUUGGAUUGGACGACCGUGUCAUUUUUGCAGAUGUUGGGUGGCUAGGGUCUGUGCAUGAUCAACCUAACAGAAGCAGUACGGGGCUAUCCGUUUGUUUUCCCAAGGCUACCAUGGGGGAAAUAUUUCCUUGUGGACUCGGGAUAUGCUAGCCGGUAUAGAUUCCUACCACCUUACCCACAUGUUUGGUACCACUUGGAUGAAUUUGCGGGUAAUAAGGGAGCAGCCUUGCCCCAUGGAAAGGAAGAUACUUUUAACUAAAUGCACAGUUCGUAGCGUAACAUAGUGGAAAGGACAUUUGGAGUUAUCAAAAGCCAGUGAGAAUCCUGAGGGAAAUACCUUAUUUCCUUAGGAGUGACGACCAUACCAAGAUCAUACAUUGUGCAUUAGUUCUACAUAACUUCAGGAUUGACAGCUCCGACAUGUAUUUCCUUACACAGAACCCAUUGUACAAUGGAUACCCCAUCGUUUCAGAUGCUCCACCCUACGUGGCUGGAACGAUGUACCUAACAGAGCGGCGGCAAUGAAUACACUCCGUGAUACCAUUGCAGAUGAAGUUUACAACAGGUAAAUGGUAUUUAGUUUGCACCGUUUAAAAUAAUUAACAUAGCCAUGUCUGUCAUGGAUAUGUUCUCUAUAUGUAUUGUGUUUCUAAAAUCUGUCUGUACUCGUCCAUGUGUAGUUCACUGUGUUCCUACUACUGUCGUGUUUGUGUGAUUUAUCUCUAGCAUCCUCUCAUGCUUAAUAUUACCAGCUUUGCUCUAA
Molecule: non-coding RNA, 3408 nt
Organism: Oryza sativa Japonica Group (Japanese rice)
Lineage: Eukaryota; Viridiplantae; Streptophyta; Magnoliopsida; Poales; Poaceae
Source: RefSeq, a predicted model, not a curated record